GGUCAUCUCAACUGAAACGAAACUAUACCUACGUACCAGGGCAUGCAUCAAAAGUAUAAGAAUCUUAAUCCUCGUAUGAUCAAACAGCAGGGACAAAUCAAGAAUACAAAAAGAACACAUCGGCCAUGAACAUGUAAAGCAAAAUGCAAUCUCAUGAUGUAAAAUGGUAAGAACCAGUGCUGAAAACAUACAAAGUACUAUCAAUUAGACGUCGAGCGUCUACCACGAACAUGCCUCUAUCCUCUCCUAGUUGGAGAAUAUUCGUCGAUCCAUCAUUAGCAUCCUGAAGCAGUUCCACCGCCACCUGAUGUGCAACAGUACCCUCGGUCACAUGACGACACAAUAUCAACGACCGUAACUUUCUAGCCAUUCUCCUAAAUAUAGCCUGCAUAAUAAUUAUAUCAAACAAAUAAAUAAACAUGGUUAAGCAAAAUUUAAUAACAUAAGCAAUGAAAAAUAACAUACCAAGGCGCCAGAUGGUGAAGGUGGAGAGGAUCUACGAUGAGGUCGUGCCUCCUGUGGGAUAUCAGGACGCUGUGUAGGCGCAAGAGGCGGUCUCGCGUCAGCUGGAGCAGCAAUAAUAUAGGGAUGUGAAACCCUCGUAAACCACUGUAUGUAUCCAUCGACACAUUCAGAAGGGUAUGAUGCCUGUCUCACAUUCCUAAUAACGUGGUCUGUGAAGUGCAACCACGCAAAAUCAACAACGACUACAUAUAGGUCGUCUCCUAGCUAAACCCUGUGCAGAACUCUCUCCUUGAGAACUCUCCCCACGAUAACUAAAAGACGCACCUCGUGUUCUUACCAUUUCUGAAAAAAAUAUUUUUUAUUAAAUUAAUAAUUAUUUCAUUAAAUUAAUCAUAUUUUUUCAAUAAUUUAAUAAUAAUUAUUUUAUUAACUAAAAUAAUUUUAAUUUAGAUAUAAUUAAGUAACAUAUUAUAAAAUAAUACUAAAUUUAAAUACUCUAUAAAUUAAUUAAAAAUACAAUAAACUAAUAAAAUAAAAAAUUUAAAACAAAAUAAUUAAGUAACAAAAUUAUUUGAAAAUAAAAAGUUAAAAAUUAAUUACUUAUAAAAUAAACUAAAAACUUAAAAAAAUAAUCAGGCCCUAAACGGAUGUCGAGUUUGGCCCUGAAACGGAUGUCGAUAUCCGUCGACGGAUGUCCGACAUCCGUUAAGGUCUGUCUUCUUCCUCCUACGCACACAUACCUCUACCAGACAGCACAACAGACACAAACAGCACAACAGACAGCACAAAACGAACGGAUCAAACAACAAUGGCACACAAACAGAGCAAAAUCAAUAGAAAUCAACACAAUGGGCAAUGAAAACUAACCUCUCGGCAGAAACCAAACAAAGCGCCGUACCACCGCGCUGCACUGUCGCACAGACCCGCCGCACACUCAAGCUGCACUGCCGCACACACCACGCCGCACCGUCGCCGCUGCACCGCCGGGAAGAGAAGACUGGAAAAGUUGAUUCAAAAGCUUGGGGGUGUGAAUUCGAAGGGAAGGGGAGGUGGGGCUGUUUCGAAUGUUUGGAGAGUGUGUGAAAGUGAAAGUGAAAUAGAAAGUAAAGUAAAACUAGGGUUACAUAGGGUUAAAAAAGUAAAAAUAAAAAAUAAAAAAGGUUAGUUAUGUAAUUAAUGAAAAGUUAAAAAAAAAUGGGGAGGUGUAGGUUUGAAAUGGGGAGGUGGAGGGAUGAAUGCCCUUCUUUUUAUGCGGCUCAGAUUUCAACCCGAUUCAUUUAAAUCCGGCUCAUGCGGGUUGAACCCGUGGUGGGUCGGGUUGGCCCACCAACCCACCUACCUAAUUUUAUUUUUUUAAUUUAUUAUUUUAUUUAUGACACCCUAAAAAUUAAAAUACUCUCUUCACUCACUGUGUGUACCAAAAAAGUAACCUCUGCUCUCACAAAUCACUCUCAUGGAACUUGCUCUCAUUUACGGUGCUGUCACUUUCACUUCUUCACUGAAAUUCUUCAAGGAGCAUG
Molecule: long non-coding RNA, 1985 nt
Filed under: Vigna radiata
Lineage: Eukaryota; Viridiplantae; Streptophyta; Magnoliopsida; Fabales; Fabaceae
Description: long non-coding RNA (VRAD_LNC013113)
Source: RNAcentral